Molecule: long non-coding RNA, 1620 nt
Organism: Bos taurus (domestic cattle)
Lineage: Eukaryota; Metazoa; Chordata; Mammalia; Artiodactyla; Bovidae
Source: Ensembl
GGCAGAGGUGUGCUAUAUGGUUUUUUAACCCAAGAGGCAGUUUAUGGGCGGAGACACGGUGAAGGGAAAAGGUAGCCAAGAAGAAAUGAAUGAUAUGAUGAUAGGCAAGGCCCAGGAGUCACAGGUGAUACACCUGCUGCUCAGAAGUUACCUUUUGAAUCCUUGGGUUGAUGUCUAUGAAAUCUCUUUAAACAUUCAUUGCAACUACCCAGGAACUAUGGAGAAAAAAGUGAAAUCUGGGAAGUAGAAUAAAGAGAUCCAGUCAUGCUCUUCCAUCUUUAAAUGUUUUAGCCAAAACAGUGGGCAACAUGAUGAGAAACUGGAUGCCAGAUUGGACUCCGGUCUUCAGUCCUCUUUUCUUCCCGGACCCAGCUUUCUGUCCCUCUUUCCCCCACAGACACCUGAAGUGCCCCUGAGCCCUCACUUCAUCGCCCCACACCCAUGCUCCAUCCCCCAGCCCUGUGGACAGGGAGCUCGGCUGUCACCAAGAGAGACACAGCCUUGUGACUGCUUCUUGUUAAUGUCAGCACCACCUCAUCACUUAAGCAAAGAGGGAAAAAUCCAUAAAAGAGAUGGAAAAUACAAUUCUUUUUUUAUUAUUAUUCUACUUUAUUUUAAGAGGCUUGAGAAGAGGGGUGGUUCCAGUCCUUCUCAGUUUCCCAGAGUUUUACUUUACAACUGUCUAAGGAAGGACCAUUCUUUUGAUAAAUGUAUAAAUCAGCCCAGGUCACCAGCUAUGAUGCAUAAGACUCCAGUGUUGAAUCUCUGUGCUGCUGGACAAAGUGACUAAAUUCUGUGCAAAUAUUUUGAAUCAUAGGCUUUUUAUUGCCCCUCAGUUCUUACUACUACUCAUGAUUCAAACAUCUUCACGAAGCUGGGUCAGGAUGUUGACAAUUUGUGGUUAUUUUCAGAUCAACAGUAACUUACCCUCUUGAAAGCACUUAAAAAGAAAGUUAAGCGUAUCUUAAAUAUUCAACCAUUUGACCUGGAGAAAAGUUGGCUUUUCUGUUUAAUUAUUAGACCAAUCUGUAGAUGUAAUCUUAAAGGGUUUUUUAUGCAAUAAUGAAGACAGUUUGAGAAAUGAGAAGGCACUUUAAAGACGUGAAACCUUGUAUUAUACACUCGUGGAUAUUUUUUAAUAAGCUAAUUGGAUUCAGGUAUUUUUUUCCCUUUAAAUUUUUAAAAAUAUGUAUUUCUAAUUUUUUUGCAUAUUUAAUUUUGUCAAAACUGAGAAAUGCUCGCUAGUUGAACUUGUAAAUGUUAUUUGCAAACCAAAUAAAGUAUUUAUUUUUAAAAAGAAAAGGUGAAGGAAUCAAUACGGAUUUGUACAUAAUGAAUAUAUGUGUGUGUGUGUGUGUGUAUGUUUUUCCUUCCUGACACUACUUGGUCCUCACAUCAAUUGUAUUUUUGUACAUAGUGUAUAUAUAUUUGUUAGAAAAUGUAGAUUGUCUGUUCAAAGACUUCUGUCUCUGAUAGAUUAUAUUUAUCCUACUGUUGAUACCUCUCUUAAUUUGUUUUAAGAGAUAGAAUUCUAUUUUUUUGGAACUUGCAGAGAACUGCAUUCAUGGCUUCCAAUUGUAAAUAUGCUAAGGGUAUUUUAAUAAAUUCUGGUUUCAUGUC